Molecule: non-coding RNA, 446 nt
Organism: Vicugna pacos (alpaca)
Lineage: Eukaryota; Metazoa; Chordata; Mammalia; Artiodactyla; Camelidae
Source: RefSeq, a predicted model, not a curated record
UACUGAUCAGGAACCUAAAAAAAAAAAAAAAAUUUGUAAAGUCACCAUACACAUACUCACCUGCAUUAAUUAUCACUUGAAGACUGCUGUUAUAGCUGGAAUCAAUUACGGGGUAAUAAAUGACAGAACUCCAAAUUUGAAAAUAAUAAGGGAAUAAAAUGACAAGAAUGUACAUCAAAUUUCCCAGAAAAGCGAUCUUCAACUCAGAGCUUCUGGGUCAGUGAACACUCAGAGGUUUGGGGAGAGUGGUGUGCCUGGAGAGGGCAUGGCACCUCUGCACCCCUUUCCAUGCCUUGCCCUGCGCAUCUUUCCCAUCUGGCUGUUCCCGCGUUAUCUUCUUUUAUCAUAAACUGGUGAUGUACUUUAUGCUGGCCCCAGUGCUCAGGUCAUGUGUCAGUCCUGGAAGGAAUCUGACAUGAUGAUGCCUCAAACUGCACAUAUGGUUA